CCUACGGGAGGCAGCAGUAGGGAAUAUUGCUCAAUGGGGGAAACCCUGAAGCAGCAACGCCGCGUGGAGGAUGAAGGUUUUCGGAUUGUAAACUCCUUUUGUUAGAGAAGAUAAUGACGGUAUCUAACGAAUAAGCACCGGCUAACUCCGUGCCAGCAGCCGCGGUAAUACGGGGGGUGCAAGCGUUACUCGGAAUCACUGGGCGUAAAGAGCGCGUAGGCGGGAUAGCAAGUCAGAUGUGAAAUCCUAGGGCUUAACCAUAGAACUGCAUUUGAAACUGUUAUUCUAGAGUAUGGGAGAGGGAGGUGGAAUUCUUGGUGUAGGGGUAAAAUCCGUAGAGAUCAAGAGGAAUACUCAUUGCGAAGGCGACCUGCUAGAACAUAACUGACGCUGAUGCGCGAAAGCGUGGGGAGCAAACAGGAUUAGAUACCCGAGUAGUC
RNAcentral lists this ribosomal RNA (440 nucleotides) under uncultured bacterium. Its description in RNAcentral is "partial 16S ribosomal RNA". It matches the Rfam family "Bacterial small subunit ribosomal RNA", at positions 338 to 795 of the family's 1533-position model. The record is from RNAcentral.